This 226-nucleotide ribosomal RNA is filed under the name uncultured bacterium. RNAcentral's name for it is "partial 16S ribosomal RNA". It matches the Rfam family "Bacterial small subunit ribosomal RNA", at positions 124 to 334 of the family's 1533-position model. The record is from RNAcentral.
CCUAGCCCUUCAGAGGGGGACAACAGUUGGAAACGACUGCUAAUACCGCAUACGAUCCAAUCUUGGCAUCGAGACUGGAUGAAAGGUGGCCUCUAUUUAUAAGCUAUCACUGAAGGAGGGGAUUGCGUCUGAUUAGCUAGUUGGGGGGGUAACGGCCCACCAAGGCGAUGAUCAGUAGCCGGUCUGAGAGGAUGAACGGCCACAUUGGGACUGAGACACGGCCCAG